This is a long non-coding RNA of Apis cerana (Asiatic honeybee), 11085 nucleotides long. RefSeq lists it as uncharacterized. The record is from RefSeq and is a predicted model, not a curated record. NCBI's taxonomy places the organism in Eukaryota, Metazoa, Arthropoda, Insecta, Hymenoptera, Apidae.
GAAAUAUUUUACGUAUUUCAUUCUGACACCUAAAUGCUACUUAAAGAAUAAUCUCAACAAUCUUGCAAUUAUUUCACCAUUUAUACAAGUAAAAGUGUAUAAAAACGUACACGACAACCUUCGAUUCGAGGCGUUAGAAUAUCUCGAAGCACUUCAGCACGGUAAUUCACGCAGUAAAGCCUCAUGUAGGAAGUUACGCAACCAGCUUCUCUCAAGCGUGUCUCGAUAAAUUACAUAAUAAAUGUCUCAUAACUAAAUUAUGUAAAAGCGAGCGGUACAACGACGCCAAGUGUAAAUACUCAACUUUGCGAUAAAAAACAUUUUCACGUAUUCUGAUCGUAACCGAACGGAAAUGAAGUUGAAACGAAACGAAAACUAUCUAUCGAAUAUGGACACCUUUUGCGCCCUCUUCUUGUAAAUAUUCAAACGAACGACGAACGGGACCAAUCAGAAUUCGAAACGUGGUUUGAAUGUGGACCAUCGAAUCGACUUUUUUCUCGAUCGGUAAACAAACAAAUUCGUACAAUUCCGCUUCUAGUUUUUGAUCGUUCACGAGUGUUCAAACUGAUAACGAAAACGGUGAAUAAUAAAAAAAAAAAACUAGACGAAAAGAAGAAAAAAAAAUGGUGGACAAAUGGUGAUGUUUGUUGAAAAAUAAAAGAAAGAAACGAGUUGAAUUCAAGUAUUGCGAUGUAACUAGCGGAAUAAAGCAUUGGAGGUUAGGUACAACGAACGAAAGUUGGAAUAAGAGAAAGAUGAGGACAGAGAAUUGAAUAGAAGGAAGAGAGAUAGAUAGUGAAGGCUAAUGAAUAAAACGAAUUAUCUGUCGAGAGCAGAGUGUCCCGUUGAAGGAACAAAUUGCUACGAAUGUGCACGAGAACUAAGUUCCUCGGUCGAUGACAAAUUACGACAAUGCUGGUAAAAAACUGCUAAAACUGGAUGAAAAGAAGAAGAGAAUUGGAGAAUUGAAUUCGAAUGGCAACAAAGGAGAAGGUUGGAUAGGCGUAUCCGUCUUGUUUUUCCUUGUGCUUUUUUUUCUUGGAUGACAAAACCAAUCCGAAUCGCAUUUCGGUAUUGAAUUAAACUACUUUCUUCUCUUCUCGCAUAAAAGAAUGGUCGAGAUUCGAACGAAGAAUCCGUUUGAGAUUUGUAUAAGUGUUUUUUGUACUUGUUCUCGGAAGCAGAAUUAAUCGAUUGGUUUAAAUCGCUUUUUCGAUCGAUCGUUGAUAAAUCAAUGAAUUUGUAAGCAGAUUUUUUUAUCGUCGAGAAAAGUAUUUUCUUUUGAAAUAUCAUUAUCGGUUGAAAGUUUGAUAUUGAAAGAUUAUUCGAUGGACUAUGAAAGUAUUGAAUCAGCGAAUUUACUUACAGAAUAACAGCUAGGAAAUGUAAAACUUUAUGCAAAAGAAAACCGUACGGGACAAUUGUCUAGAUAGAUGCAUCAGACUAAUGUUUUUUCCGUGUGCAGCCGCUUCUCGUUGUCGACGUGAGAAGCGAAGUGCCUUCGACUUCAGGUUCACUGCCAUGAGCAUUAUUACGCAAGAAGAGGCUAUGUUCGUUCCUCCUGUUACGUCUUAACCGCACUUAAUUAAUCGCCUAAUUGCCGACCUGCCAAUUAAACGACCUCUGGUGUCGGCACGAGUUACACUCGUCGGAUCAAUUUUCUUUGACUUAUGUAUAUUUUAUGGAAAAACACCACUUUCGAUCAAUUGGAAGUGAAAUCUCUGUGAGCUAAUGGUCAGCAAUGAGCAGCGACAAUUUUAAACUCGUUAAACGUGAAAUGAGAAAAAUCCAAAUGUCUCGUUUUUAAUGCAAAUUAUAGGAGUAACAUUUAACGAUGUAAAACAAGAAAAAAAUAUGGAAUGACGGUAAUUAAACGACAUAUAAACUCGACGUAUUAAAAUCCUUUUACGGUGCAACACAUUGGUGAAAAUCAUGCACACGUAGACGUCAGGCAACGUUAGUUUAAUCUGAAAGAUACCGGAAACUGAAAGUACCGGGUAUAUCCCACGUUCGAUUCAAUGGAGACUUUAGCACGACCUUAAGCCAUAUACUUCGUAUUUCUGUCUGCUGAAUGAAUCUGAUAUCAUGGCACGGCAAUUAAUUGGAGUCGUUGAAGGAGCUCAGGUUAUUGCGAGAAGCUGGAACUCCCCCAGGAAAGUAUAGCUUCUAGUUAGGUUUAAUCUGAAAUUCUGGAAAGCACAGUAUAUUCGCACCGCGUAACGAACCCGCAUUAAUUAAGUUCCGCUUCCGUCCGCGAACGGAAGUAACGAAGAAAGUUCGGCGGCCAGUUAGUCCUCCCUCUGCAAUGCGAAUUUCACUACCAAAUUUUCGCCUUAUACAUCAGGUUCUGAUACAAUUUUUAGAAAAACAUAUAGAUUAUUUUAAUGUAGGUGAUCAUAAAUGGCACUUAAUAUCAUAUAUCAUUCAUAAUAUUUCAAGUCAUAAAAUUUAUUUAUUUAAAUUACAGAUAAAAUCCAAAAAUUUAAAAGUAAAAGGACACAAGAAUUCCAAAGAUACAAAGAUUUAAGGAUUUAAAGAUUUAAACAGAUCUCAAGAUUUAAGGUUCAAAUAUUUCAAAAUUGAAAAAUUCAUAAAUUCAAUGAUUCAUGAUGCAAAAAUUCAGACUUUCUGAAAAGAGUGGUUAUCGAAUUUGCUCUCAGUUUCAGAAUUCUAUUAAAAAAAGAAAAGAAAUGAAAAGGAAGAAUUAGUCAUAACUAAAUCUUUCAGUAAAUCGAGCAACUUUCGAGCGCUAUAUCAACAUUCAUAAACAUUAAACGCUAUAUACGAUGAAUAUUUUUCAGGUUCAGAUCGUCGAACAGUCGAUAGUUCAAUAUUACCAUUUCAUCAAAACCUCCAACCCGAUAUUCCGCGUAUUCGUCCGGUCUUCGUGAUGUUUGCGUGGAAUCACGAUUUAUAGCCAUGGAUGUAACGUUAUUUAACUGAAAAAUGUUAUUUACGUUCGUACAAAGUAGACAUAUACGUACGUUGUUGCUGUUUGUUAUCAACAUGCGUCGAAAUCUAAUAUUUGGCCAACGCGUGUAUCGACGCGUUGGAUCGACGUUUCUGCGAUUGUUCCACGUAAAAGUCAGCCAAUCUCCAAACAAGUUUUCCAUUUUUACGAUCGAUAUCGAAAUUUUGAAUUUGUAUCUGAUAAAGGUUCGAUAAAAAUUCUUCGAAAUAAUUGUGAAAACUAUUAAAUUUUACGAAAUUAAAAUUAAUCUUAUAUCAAUAUACGAAGGCUAUAUAAUGAAAAUAUACGAAGACUUUCAGUCAAAGUGUAUCAAAGUAUCAUUUUUAAAUGAAGCUAUAAUCGAAAUAUUAAUUUUAAAGGUACUAAAAGAUCAAAAGUUAUUUCCAUAUGAAAAUCAAGUACAAAAGAUAACAGUUUAUUUUAAUUCUUAUAAGCACAUCUACAAAUAUAGAAAAACUCUUACAUCAUUAAAGGAUAAAAACUGUAAUCUUAUUAUAAUUUAUAGUUACCUAUAACGUAAGAAUACCUGUGAAUAAAUUACAGUGUAAAUCAACUCAAUUUAACACAACUUUCAUUGCAACUUUCUUCGACUUACAUCACUCUUGUUUUCAACAGCUUACGUAAAUCUUGUAACUAUCCAAGACAAGAAAUACGUAUUGUAUUGCUAAUAUUUUUAACGUCAUAAAAUACGAUGACGGGUAUUAUUCCCUUAUUUUUUUUUUCCAAUAUAGGGAAGCAGUAUAUAUAUUUUUUUAUAGUAAUGGAUCAUGAUUUAAGUGACACAGGAGGACGAACCGUAUCUUCGUAAUUUAAUAGGGGUGGCUAGUGUGGAAUUCAUGACCUGGAAUUUCAAAGGAAAACGUAUAAGGUUUAUCUCAGCAAUUUUUCAUGGGUAAUGCCCGUGUUGAAAGUUAGAACGAAUUGAAGUGUCACGAAGUAACGAUACGAAUAUUAAUGAAUAUAUCACGAUAUAUCGAUAUACAUACAUGAAAAUUGAAUUUUUUUUCAUUUAUCGCCGUACGAACGAGAAUGAGUAUAUUCGAGAGAGUAUGUGUUUGAAUAUGGUAUUGAAAAAAAAAAAUUCGUGCAAAAUAAAAUAAAAGAAUAAAAUAAUAAUAAAAAUGACGAAGUAAAAAUAAUUUAUAAAAUUUUUAACUUUCAAUAAAAAAUGAAAAAUUCACUGUCAAAAUUGAUUGUAACUUAUGAAAAUAUUAAAAUAUUGCAUAAUUGAUAAAAUUUCGUAGCGAGAUUUGAUUAAACGUUUUACGUAAUAAAAUGGAAAAAACUUCACAUGUUUAUAAAUAAUAUUUUCAAGCUUGUUUUUUAAUUAUUUUUUGUUAUUCUAUAUUACACAAUCGAUAUUACAUAAUAUAUAUAUAUAUAGUGGUCUCGAUUUAUUUUUGUGGGAAUUAUUAUGCACUGAUUAAUAUAAUUAUUCAAGAAAGGGAUUAAUAUGUUAUUUAAAUAUUAAAAUAAAAUUAUAUCUUAUUUUAGUAUUACAUUUUACUUAGUAUUCAAUAAAUUAUAAUAAUAAAUAUUUCGAUAUUUUUCUAUAUUAUUUUCUUUGAUGAUUAUUGUAAUACCUAUUUAUCUUUUGGAAAAUAUAUUAGCUUCCAUUCAUUCAUUUUAAUUAUAUUAAAUAAUUAUCUAACUUACAAUUCUUUUAAAAUUAGAUAUAAUUAUUUAAAAUUAUUUGUAUAUCGUUCAGAAUUUAAAAAAAUAUAAUUCUUCCAUUCCACUUUUAAUUUAAAAAAAAUAUCAAAAUCGAUAUUUAUAGAUUAUAAAAAAUUAUGUUUUCUUUAUCGUUUAGAUAUCGAAUUUUUUAGAUUCAAACAUUUUUAAAUCUUAUAUUCAUUAUAUUUCUUUAAAAAUCCUCUCGAUCUUGACAAUUAAAUCCCCAUUUAUCCCCUAAUUCGAUCUCGAUUUAAACACAAAGUGUUUCGAGCAUCCCUCCCUCUCUCCUCGUACCAAAUUCCUAUACAAAACUCAUGCGUAUAAAUCCUCCGGUAAAACCUCCACUAAUCUGGCACAAAGAAACAUUCCCGCACGCUCCAUCCAGCCAACUACAAAAAGUAAAAGAAAAAAAGAAAAAAAGUAAGAAAGAAGAAAGCAAGAAGAAAAGAGGGGAAAAAGAGGCGGACAAUUACACGAAACGGCUAGUGGUAAUAAGAGAAGCCAUUAAGGCACCCACCCCUGCGAAUCGCAGAUUCCUCGAGCCGGCUCGCGGAACUAUUCCACCGAGAAUUUAUUCUUAGCAGCCGCCUGUUAGUCCGCGUUUUCCACGAUUCCCUCGAAAUUCUUCGAGCCUUCGACCUCGUCGAAAACCUUCUCCACGGAAAAAUUUUUAUUCUCUACCUCGCCUUAUCGCGUUCCUCUCCUCGAUCACGUCCUCCAUUCUCUCUCUCUCUCUCUCUCAUUCUCUCCGCCUCUCUCGUACUCCGCUCUGCGUACACAUUCGAGACCCUGGUCUCGUACCAAGUCAAUUACUGGUUACUCGGUUACUCGCCGAUGCGUUGUUGCGCCGAAGCGUGGAGAUGCCACUCGCGCGGACCCGCGCGCGGACGUUACGUAUACGCGGGGCGAUACGCCGCGUAUCGUAAUUCGCAAUUUGCCCGAGCAUUCACCUUCGAAUUCCCGUUACUCACGUUCCGUAUCGUCGUCCUACACUCGACACCCGGGGCACCGCUCCGCGAAAUGGCUCGCGUGAUCGAUGCAGUUUUUCCUUUAUUUCACGUGGCAAGUAUCGUGCGCGAGAUGGAGAUUUCGAGGAGCGAAACGGAGUAAGGGGUGAAUUUGGAUAAGUGGACGGAUGGAUGGAAAAUCUGCAGCCCAGAUCGGGUGGCGGAGUGAAAUUGAGAUUCGAUUAAAUUUUUUUCACGUUUUUUUGUUGAAUAUGUAAAGAGGGGACGGCGAAAGGGAGGAUUAAAAUAAAUAUGUGAAUGAGUUUCGCGAUGCGUCGAGAAGUGAAAUGGUAGAGGAUUUAUUAUAGAAUCUGAUAAUUAUGAAGAUAUGGGUAUUUCUAUCAUAUGUAUCGAAUAGAAUGGGAUCCAUUCCAUAUUUAUCUGUGUUUCUCAUCAUUUUUUUUUGGUAAAAAGGUAUUGAUGUUUGUUCAAAAAUCUAUUAUUAGUCGUUAAAAAUUUCUCAUCAUUUUUGAUAACAGUUUUUCAAAAAAAUUAAAUUUCUGUUUAAAAGAUAAUUAUUUUAUCCGAUUCUCAGACUGAGAAUCGAUUAUUCCUUUUCUCGUUAAUUUUUUUGUCAAUUCUUAUUUAUAAAAUUGAUCUUGACUGCUCUAAUUGUAUAAAACACAUAACAAUUAACUUAUUAUAAUCUUCCAAAAGUAUUCAAAUAAUUCUUUUUUUAAUUUUGACAAAAAAAUACUUCGAUCUCUCCAUCAUUUUAAUCGAUUUUCUUUACACACAAUCCAUCGAAAUUAAAUUCAAUUUAGAAACGAAUAAAAAUAUCAAAAAAAGUCACGUUUCUAUAGAAAAAAAAAAAUGAUAAUAAAACUGAAAAUUCGGCCGAUACACUAAAAAUGUUCCCCGUGAUAAAUCAUCUUUAAACGGCAGAUAUUAAACGUAUGCGGUCGCUGAUCCUCCCAGGCUAUCCUUUUCCGUGUCGCACGAUUGUUGCUACUCCCAAGCUGGCAAUUAAUUCUUACCGACGCCGGCGCUUUGUAAUCACCGCUUAAUGGACACGCCGCUAUUUAUCGCCGCCCGGUUUAUAAUUAAACACCGUCCACGAGCCGAUCGGUUGCCUAAUGCGAGUAGACGCGGGAUGUAUUUAUUGCCAGCACACAAUUCUCUCGGUUACUCUGAAGCGAAAUUUUUGCUAUGUCACCACGACCUCCUAUUUAUGAAGUUCUCCGAUCGUGUCGUAAUUUUAAUCUUGGAAAAUUAAUCAAUUUUCCUAGCUCCUCUUGGGACAGUUUCGAUGAUGUCUGUCUUUGGGAAAAAAUAAUAGAAUAAAUGUAAGAGUCUAUGAAAAAUUGAAAUAUCGUUGAAAUUAAAAUGAUUGAAUUGAUGCAAAAGUUUAAAAUUUGAAAAGUUUUUAAAGUUUUUGACAUGUAAAUUUAACGAUAAGCUUGGAAUGUUGUAACGUUAUAAGAAAAUUGGUUAUAUGGUUUGGUAACACAUGAUAGAAUGUGAAUUUUAUACGUAAAGAUUCUUUUGUGUUAUAUCUGUAGAGUAUAUCGAAUGCAUUGUAUUAAGCGUUUGAUUAAUUAUACGCUUAUACUACUGAAAUCGACUCUUGAUCUUCUUAUUAGAAUUACACUUUUUCUUCUCCUUUUUUUUUUUAGAAAUAGUUUUUAUAUGUGAAAUUAAAGAUAAUUAAGUAUCUGAUUGUGAAUUUGGAAUUAAUAUUUUUUUAUAUGCAUAUAGAUAAUGUUAUCUGUUUUAUUUUAAAAUAUUAAUUUUUAUGAAAAAAUCAUUUAUAUCACAGUAUAACUUCUUUCCAGAAAUAAAAACUGAUAUUUUUCGUAAAAAUAGUAACCGAAAUAUAAUUAUUUAUGAUCAAUUAUUUAUAUUAUAUUACUAAUGAUUCAAAAUUUAAUCUAUCUAGAGUUCUUUAAUGUGUAUUAUGAAGCUAUAAAUAUAUAUAUUCUCUUCGAUCGAAUUUCAAGAGUUCAAAAUAUUGUUAAAUCUUUAAUUAAUUACUUACGAACUUUAUGUAACUUUAUACGAUAAAAUUAGUUAAAUAAAAUUUAAAUGAAUAAUAAAUGAAUGGAAAUAGAUAAGUAAAUUUAUAUUACAAGAAUAACUUGUUGUUGGAUUGGAAUAUCUGGAUUAGUCAACCUAGUGACUUUUUCUUUCUAGGAUAUUUGAUACAUUGAACUUUUAUUACAUAAUUCGUAAAAUUAAAAUGUUACGUACCUAGAAAUACAUAUACAGAUCUUUCUUGUACAAGUUGUACAGAUUUUGUGCAUAGAAUUUUAUAUAUCGAAAGAUAUUAUAAUGAAACAACGAUAACAUUUUGCCAUUCUAAGAUAAGAUAUAAAAUUUCCAAAUGGUUGGUGAAAUAUUUUUUUUAGAAUUUCGUAACAUUUCGAAAGCAUAAAACAAAACACGGGAGAAAAAUACACGAGCACGGCAAGGAACAUGAAACUUUCCUUGGGAAUUGCAACGACAUGCACAAGAUUGUAUAAAUUAUCGAUGUACUUUAACCAACGAGUUGUUCUCAACACAUAGUUUAUAUAAUCCUUUGCAUUACACGAUGAAGAAUAAAUUUCUCCGCAAUCUAAUCUCGUUUUUUUUCUUUUUUUUUUUACACAUCUCGACUUUAAAUAUCGUAUACAUUGCUUGAUAUAAAUAGAUAUGCCCGGUUAGAACAUCGUGUUAAGUAUCCUCUCACCAAAGAAAGACAAAAACGGGUAGGAAAUCACAUGGCAUUAAGAAAAGCCAUUAAGUAGGUUCAGAGAGAAAACCAUUUCUCUUUUGACCCCAUCGAUCUAUUCGAACACGCAAUCUUAAACAUAACCAUGUAUUUAUUUAACUUUCAACGAUAUAACGACGUUUUCAUAGUCGCAAAAUAUCUCACUAUUUUUCUAGUAAAUGCCGUUAAAUUUUGAAUUUCAUGUAUUGCAAAAAAUCUAAUUUAAUUAGAAAGAAAGAGAAAAAAAAGAAAGAGAAAAAAGUAUAUUUUCGUUAUAUUCGUUAUAAUUUAUUCAUCCAUAAUUUUGAUACAACGUUCAAUGCUUCCGCUUGGGCAAUCCGGACCUUGCAGUAACAUUUAGCUCCGAACGAAGCGAACUUAUUAUUUAUUCAGAGAACUCGAUAUUACGUUAAGGUUCGAGCUCUCGCUUUUAAUGGCGCUAUUGUUUGAUUCCUUCCAGAUACGUGCCUCCCUUUUUUUCUCUUCUCUCGACUCGUGAUGAACGUGUUCACUUAUCUCUUCCUUCGCGUUAUGUAACACCGAAAGGAAAGAAUGGUGGGUAACCGAAAAAAACCGAGAAAGCGAGAGAGAAGAGUGUUUCGAUUCGCCAAACGAUGAACCAUUUCAGGUUGGUCGAGAAGGAUCGAUUCCCAGCAUAACGAGAGAGCAACUUUCUACUCACGGUACUCGUAUAAAGUUCAACUCCAUGUUUGUAAUUUGCGGUUUGCUGCGCGCGCAGCAAUCAGAUCGGUAACGUGGACCGCUAAACGAUCUUACGAGAAGAGCAUCGGCUAUUCUCGUCCUUUCGUUUGCGUGAAAACUGAAAUGGCGGAACGGCUUUCUAAUGUAUCACGUGGAAAGAAAGAAACUAGAAGAUUAUAGUGAAUUGCGUUCUCUCGUGUUUUUGUUCUCGAAACAAGAAUGGAAAUUAAAAAUUGUGCUCAGUAAAGAAUAUACGUGGGACGUAACGAGCGAUUUAGAACGAUAAGAAUAAUUUUUUCGAGAGAAGGUUAUGUUUGAGAUAAGAUUGUAAUAAGUGAUGAAUGUAAAUGAAUAUAAAUGAAAUCUCGAAUUGUCAAAUUGGAAAAUAUAUAGAUCCAUGUGUUGAAUAAAACAAUAUUUUAUCUAUGGAUAAAUAAAGGAAAAAUGAUAAAGAUGGAUGACAAAUUUCUGCGAGGAUUCGAUGAAUGAACAGCGACAUUAUUCACGUUACCUCGAGCGUGUCUAUAUAAUUUCUCAUUUACACAAUGGUGCACGAGCGAUACAUUUGCACCGUGUUGCAGCAAUGCAACUCUACUUUAACAUAUCGAUUCACGUACGUCGAAAGUUUCAGAAGGCCACAGCAAUACGAUUGAACGAGCAAAGCCUCUAAAAGAGACGAGAACUUUUACACGAAUUUAAACUUUCCAUCAAGGUUACGCAUAUUAUUAAUUUUUCUAGUAAAGCUUAAACAUAUUGGUGAAACCGAAGUAUAGAUGUUUUUAUGCAUUCAUGAGAAAUACGAAUAUACAAAAAUGGAUAUCUUCGAAAGAGUUUAUUUUAUCGAUUCGCAACGAAUGUAUGAUUAUUCUCAAUGCCAUGGUAUACCUGCAUGUGCAUAAACUAACAGCCAUGAAUAAAAUAACUUUCAUGAUAUAAUUAAAUAUAGAUAGAUGAUAUAACAAACACGAACUUUUCCUCUUCCCCCUUAUAACUGUACAUACAAUACAACUAACAACGAAUUUUGAUAUUUCUCCAGGCAUCGCAUGACUCCCACUGCUUCCCAUUGCAUUUCAAAUGUAUCAAAAUAAAAACAAAUUUGAUUACAUUUAAAGAGAGAUGUUAUUUUACAACAUCAAACGUACAAUAUUUCCAACUUUUCAACCUCGCAAUCAAUUACCACGUAACGAGUCUCGUCAAUAUCAUUUACCGCAAAAUAAAUUUUUCCAUUAUAAUAAAUUUAAUUACACUUGCCGUCCAAUAGGUCAAUCCAAAUUUGUUCGUUUUUCGAUAGAACGAAGAGGAUCCCGUCGUUUUGAUGAACAACGAACCGAUCAAAGGUCGAUCCUCGAUCGGUGUUAAUGAAAUUAGCGGGCGAUGGCCGAGGGAUAAGGCGCUGUGCAGAGCGGAAAACGCGCGGAAGAGUCGGCCCAGUCGGAUACCUGAUAUCGGUAUUAACUCGACCAUAAAGCAUUCCGCAGGCCCCGUCCACAAAGUGAUUGCGAUUGCGCCUCGGGCAUUACAACGCGCAGAUUUAUGAACAGGGGUUGCCUACGAACAAAAAUUGAGAAGGGGAUAGGAUAAGGGUUUCGUUUGUGAAAGAAGAACGAAGGGAGUAAUGAUAUAUGUAUAUGUAGAAGGGAUGCAUGUAGGCGAUGAAGAAUGGUAAUGAAGCGGAUCUAAAGAGGAUCUCAAACGAUUCUGCCGAGAGGAUUCCGAUCCAAAUUGCCAGAAUCCUUCGAGUCUGGAGGGUGUUGGAGACGUUACAAAAUGCGUUCCGCAAUGCAGACACCGCGGAACCUUUGUUCACCUCGAUGCCAGCUGUGCGAAGUGCCAAGUAAAAACUGAAUAUUUGUCGCCUUAAUAUGUCCAAUAAAUAUGCUUCAAAUUGUGAGAAAAGACGCAGGGGAUGAAAAGCAAGGGGAGUAUUCGAUUUAUCACAUAUUCAAAAUAAUUUUAGAUGAAGUGAAUUUUAAUUACCGUCAAUAAUUACCGUUAAAAUAUUUGCAAUAUCUCAUUUAAAUAAAGGCAAAAAAAUCACUAUA